GAUGAAGAACGCAGCGAAAUGCGAUAAGUAAUGUGAAUUGCAGAAUUCCGUGAAUCAUCGAAUCUUUGAACGCAUAUUGCGCCCUCCGGUAUUCCGGGGGGCAUGCCUGUCCGAGCGUCAUUGCAACCCUCAAGCGCGGCUUGUGUGUUGGGCCUUCGUCCCCCGUGGACGGGCCCAAAAGGCAGCGGCGGCACCGCGUCCGGUCCUCGAGCGUAUGGGGCUUCGUCACCCGCUCUUGUAGGCCCGGCCGGCGCUUGCCGACACAUCAAUCUUUUUUCCAGGUUGACCUCGGAUCAGGUAGGGAUACCCGCUGAACUUAAGCAUAUCAAUAAGCGGAGGA
This 340-nucleotide unclassified non-coding RNA is filed under the name soil metagenome. RNAcentral describes it as "partial contains 5.8S ribosomal RNA, internal transcribed spacer 2, and large subunit ribosomal RNA". The stretch from base 1 to 120 matches the Rfam family "5.8S ribosomal RNA", at positions 35 to 154 of the family's 154-position model. The record is from RNAcentral.